CGUCCCGCCGGCGACCGGCGCACGGGUGAGUAACACGUAUGCAACCUGGCCGCCACAGGGGGAUAACCCGCGGAAACGCGGCCUAAUACCCCGUGACGCCACCGGAGGGCAUCCUCCGGUGGCCAAAGGAGCGAUCCGGUGGCGGAUGGGCAUGCGGCGCAUUAGCUUGUUGGCGGGGUAACGGCCCACCAAGGCGACGAUGCGUAGGGGUUCUGAGAGGAAGGUCCCCCACACUGGUACUGAGACACGGACCAGACUCCUACGGGAGGCAGCAG
RNAcentral lists this ribosomal RNA (275 nucleotides) under uncultured bacterium. RNAcentral describes it as "partial 16S ribosomal RNA". It matches the Rfam family "Bacterial small subunit ribosomal RNA", at positions 81 to 354 of the family's 1533-position model. The record is from RNAcentral.